AUUCCGGUUGAUCCUGCCGGAGGCCAUUGCUAUUGGAGUUCGAUUUAGCCAUGCUAGUUGCACGAGUUUAGACUCGUGGCGGAAAGCUCAGUAACACGUGGUCAAACUACCCUAUAGACCAGGAUAACCUCGGGAAACUGAGGCUAAUCCUAGAUAACGCUCCCCUGCUGGAAUUGCAGGGAGCCGGAAACGCUCCGGCGCUAUAGGAUGUGACUGCGGCCGAUUAGGUAGACGGUGGGGUAACGGCCCACCGUGCCGAUAAUCGGUACGGGUUGUGAGAGCAAGAGCCCGGAGAUGGAUUCUGAGACA
RNAcentral lists this ribosomal RNA (309 nucleotides) under Haladaptatus paucihalophilus DX253. RNAcentral's name for it is "Archaeal small subunit ribosomal RNA". It matches the Rfam family "Archaeal small subunit ribosomal RNA", at positions 1 to 310 of the family's 1478-position model. Lineage: Archaea; Methanobacteriati; Methanobacteriota; Halobacteria; Halobacteriales; Haladaptataceae. The record is from Rfam by way of RNAcentral.